Long non-coding RNA from Girardinichthys multiradiatus, 352 nucleotides. RefSeq lists it as uncharacterized. The transcript has 3 exons. The record is from RefSeq and is a predicted model, not a curated record. Lineage: Eukaryota; Metazoa; Chordata; Actinopteri; Cyprinodontiformes; Goodeidae.
GCGACAUGUCUCUUAAGGCACCAAUGAACAAAGCUGAGCGCCAGUGCUUCUAGUCUUACGGGAGUCUCUUUCCAAUACUCUACUGUAAUAAGGACACACUCAGGAAAUAAAAUGGAUCAGAGGGGACCUGAGAGUAGGACACACGUUAACCCAGAUAAGCUCUGACAAAACACCAUUACCUUCUCCUGUUCACACAGCCACAUACAGGACAGCUAAUAGUCUCCUGUCCCUUGGAGGAAUCCAUCAACAUCAAAAGCAAAUGCACAGGUCGCAACUGUAAAUCCUGCAAGAACAAGGAAGGACAAUUCAGUUAAAAUAAAACUACAUUUAAAAAAAAGAAAGAAAAUUAAAG